Molecule: ribosomal RNA, 543 nt
Filed under: uncultured Cryptophyta
Lineage: Eukaryota; Cryptophyceae
Description: SSU rRNA
Rfam family: Eukaryotic small subunit ribosomal RNA
Source: RNAcentral
GUAUAUUAAAGUUGUUGCAGUUAAAAAGCUCGUAGUCGGAUGUCGGGCUCGGGCAGGCUGUCGGCUUCGGUCGGACGGCAGGCUCGGGUCUUUCUGCCUGAGGAUCCCGUGCACUUUAUUGUGGGCGGGGGACGCAGGCCGUUUACUUUGAAAAAAUUAGAGUGUUCAAAGCAGGCCUACGCUUGAAUACAUUAGCAUGGAAUAAUGGAAUAGGACUUUGGUGCUAUUUUGUUGGUUUAUGGGACCGAAGUAAUGAUUAACAGGGACAGUUGGGGCCGUUUAUAUUUCGUUGUCAGAGGUGAAAUUCUUGGAUUUACGAAAGAUAAACUUCUGCGAAAGCAUUCGGCAAGGAUGUUUUCAUUGAUCAAGAACGAAAGUUAGGGGAUCGAAGACGAUCAGAUACCGUCGUAGUCUUACCAUAAACUAUGCCGACUAGGGAUCAGUGGAUGUCAAUUUGCGACUCCAUUGGCACCUUGUGAGAAAUCAAAGUUUUUGGGUUCUGGGGGGAGUAUGGUCGCAAGGCUGAAACUUAAAGGAAUUGAC